Molecule: long non-coding RNA, 4640 nt
Organism: Symphalangus syndactylus (siamang)
Lineage: Eukaryota; Metazoa; Chordata; Mammalia; Primates; Hylobatidae
Source: RefSeq, a predicted model, not a curated record
AGUUUCCCGCUAGCAGCUUCCCAUGUCAAGCCACUCAGUCGGAGCUGGCCGAGAGAAAAAACAUAAUUCAAACUGAUGCUUGGAGGAUUUUUUUUUUGUUCCAAGGAUUGAGCAGGUAUGCUCUGUGGACUGCCUGAGUUAUCUUUCACUGGCAAUGGGAGAACUAGCCCCACAGGACAUAUUUAAAGGGGUGGGGACACUGGAGUGUGGGGGGUGCAUGGCAACAUAUUCAAGCUUAUGUACAUGGCAUUUGAGGUCAGGGCAUGGAAAAAUACUGAGGCACUGUGUGUAUGUUAUUUGUGCAUGAGAAAGAAACUCCUUGACCCUGAAAACAGGACAGGGAGUGGAGCGUGUGGUGUGAUAAUGAACGCUGAAAACAGCCUCCUGAGAAUGCGGUUUGAGUGCUUUUAUGAGGCCGCAGGUGUCUCACGACCCGACCUCAAAAAAGCCAUGUAGUGGAUGUUUGUGGUUUAACAAGCCCUUUCAAUAAAUACUUGGCAGACAGAUGCUGGGGCGGGUUCUCUUAGAAGAACUGCCCCCCACUUCCCCCGGCCCCACUCAGCUGAAAUUGUCUAAGAACUCAUUCUUGACGUUCACUGCAAGCUAUAAACUCUGCAAGUGGUGCACCCGACGUGAUAGCCUUGAAGUUAUGCGUGAAAGGAGGAGAGCUCAUCAAUUUUUGGAAAAUCCUGGUAAGGGACAGUCCUGACUACCAUCAGGUGGACAGGACCCACGUGAAAAAUACCAGGGGUUCGGUUAUCAUGGGUCAGGAAAUGAACAAAGAACAAAGUUUUUUGUUUUUUUUUUGAGACGGAGUCUCACUCUGUCGCCCAGGCUGGAGUGCAGUAGCGCGAUCCCAGCUCACUGCAACCUCCCUGGUUCAAGCUAUUCUCCUGCCUCAGCCUCCUGCAUAGCUGGGAUUACAGGCAUGCAUCACCCCACAACAGGACUUAAUUAACCUCGUCUUCAAGAUGUACAAUAAUAGAGAAAAGUUACAAUUACUUGCCUCUGCUGUGAGACAAAACCCAGCAGCACCUCCAGCACACAAGAACUUCAAAAUGCCUAAGCCGCACAUGCCUAAACCGCAGUGGUCAAGCAUUCCUACAGGACCUUCUUCAUCAGGAUCUUGCUUCAAGUGCCAGAAAUCUGGCCGCUGGGCCAAGAAAUGCUCGCAGCCUGGAAUUCCUCCUAAGCCGUGUCCCAUCUGUGCAGGACCCCACUGAAAAUCAGACUGUCCAACUCGCCCGGCAGCCACUCCCAGAGCUCUGGGAUCUCUGGCCCAAGACUCUCUGACUCCUUCCCAGAUCUUCUCAGCUUAGCAGCUGAAGUCUGAUGCUGCCCGAUCACCUUGGAAGCCUCCUGGGCCAUCACAGACACUUUGGGUAACUCUUACAGUGGAGGGCUACAAUCUACUCGGCUUGCUGCUGCCCGCGCCGCGGACUGCCUGGGACUGCCGAGGCCCGCCACCGCUGCCUGCCUUUUCUCCUUUGGAUGCAGGCACGCGUUCACCAUCUUGGCCACGCUGGUCGCCAGCUCCUGACGCCGAGUGCUCUGCCCGCCUCAGCCUCCCGAGGUACUGGGACUACAGACGGAGUCUCGCUCACCCAGUGCUCGGUGUUGCCCGGGCUGAAGGGCAGUGGCGUGGUCUGGCCUCGCGGCAGCCUCUACCCCCCGGCCGCCUGCCUUGGCCUGCCAGGGUGCUGGGAUUGCAGCCCCUGCCCGGCCGCUGCACCAUCUGGAAGGUGGGGAGCGCCUCUGCCCGGCCGCCCCGUCUGGGAGGUGAGGAGCGCCUCUGCCCGGCCGCCCCGUCUGGGAGGUGAGGAGCGCCUCUGCCCGGCCGCCCCGUCUGGGAAGUGAGGAGCGCCUCUGCCCGGCCACCCACCGUCUGGGAAGUGAGGAGCGCCUCUGCCCGGCCACCCACCGUCUGGGAAGUGAGGAGCGCCUCUGCCCGGCCACCCACCGUCGGGGAAGUGAGGAGCGCCUCUGCCCGGCCACCCACCGUCUGGGAAGUGAGGAGCGCCUCUGCCCGGCCACCCACCGUCUGGGAAGUGAGGAGCGCCUCUGCCCGGCCACCCACCGUCUGGGAAGUGAGGAGCGCCUCUGCCCGGCCACCCACCGUCUGGGAAGUGAGGAGCGCCUCUGCCCGGCCACCCACCGUCUGGGAAGUGAGGAGCGCCUCUGCCCGGCCACCCACCGUCUGGGAAGUGAGGAGCGCCUCUGCCCGGCCACCCAUCGUCUGGGAAGUGAGGAGCGCCUCUGCCCGGCCGCCCCGUCCGGGAAGAAGUGAGGAGCGCCUCUGCCCGGCCGCCCCGUCCGGGAAGAAGUGAGGAGCGCCUCUGCCCGGCCGCCCCGUCUGGGAAGUGAGGAGCGCCUCUGCCCGGCCGCCCCGUCUGGGAAGUGAGGAGCGCCUCUGCCCGGCCACCCACCGUCUGGGAAGUGAGGAGCGCCUCUGCCCGGCCACCCACCGUCUGGGAAGUGAGGAGCGCCUCUGCCCGGCCACCCACCGUCUGGGAAGUGAGGAGCGCCUGUGCCCGGCCACCCACCGUCUGGGAAGUGAGGAGCGCCUCUGCCCGGCCACCCACCAUCUGGGAAGUGAGGAGCGCCUCUGCCCGACCACCCACCGUCUGGGAAGUGAGGAGCCCCUCUGCCCGGCCACCCACCGUCUGGGAAGUGAGGAGCCCCUCUGCCCGGCCACCCACCGUCUGGGAAGUGAGGAGCGCCUCUGCCCGGCCACCCACUGUCUGGGAAGUGAGGAGCGCCUCUGCCCGGCCACCCACCGUCUGGGAAGUGAGGAGCGCCUCUGCCCGGCCACCCAUCGUCUGGGAAGUGAGGAGUGCCUCCACCCGGCCGCCCCGUCCGGGAAGAAGUGAGGAGCGCCUCUGCCCGGCCGCCCCGCCCGGGAAGAAGUGAGGAGCGCCUCUGCCCGGCCGCCCCGCCCGGGAAGAAGUGAGGAGCGCCUCUGCCCGGCCGCCCCGCCCGGGAAGAAGUGAGGAGCGCCUCUGCCCGGCCACCCCCGUCCGGGAAGAAGUGAGGAGCGCCUCUGCCCGGCCGCCCCGUCCGGGAAGAAGUGAGGAGCGCCUCUGCCCGGCCGCCCCGUCCGGGAAGAAGUGAGGAGCGCCUCUGCCCGGCCACCCCCGUCCGGGAAGAAGUGAGGAGCGCCUCUGCCCGGCCGCCCUGUCUGGGAAGUGAGGAGCGCCUCUGCCCAGCCGCCCCGUCCGGGAAGAAAUGAGGAGCGCCUCUGCCCGGGCGCCCCAUCCGGGAAGAAGUGAGGAGCGCCUCUGCCCGGCCGCCCCAUCCGGGAAGAAGUGAGGAGCGCCUCUGCCCGGCCGCCCCAUCCGGGAAGAAGUGAGGAGCGCCUCUGCCCGGUCACCCAUCGUCUGGGAAGUGAGGAGCGCCUCUGCCCGGCCACCCACCGUCUGGGAAGUGAGGAGCGCCUCUGCCCGGCCGCCCCGUCCGGGAAGAAAUGAGGAGCGCCUCUGCCCGGGCGCCCCAUCCGGGAAGAAGUGAGGAGCGCCUCUGCACAGCCACCCAUCGUCUGGGAAGUGAGGAGCGCCUCUGCCCGGCCACCCACCGUCUGGGAAGUGAGGAGCGCCUCUGCCCGGCCGCCCCGUCCGGGAAGAAGUGAGGAGCGCCUCUGCCCGGCCGCCCCGUCCGGGAAGAAGUGAGGAGCGCCUCUGCCCGGCCGCCCCGUCCGGGAAGAAGUGAGGAGCGCCUCUGCCCGGCCGCCCUGUCCGGGAAGAAGUGAGGAGUGCCUCUGCCCGGCCGCCCAUCGUCUGGGAGGUGAGGAGCGCCUCUGCCAGGCCACCCAUCGUCUGGGAGGUGAGGAGCGCCUCUGCCCGGCCACCCAUCAUCUGGAAAGUGAGGAGCGCCUCUGCCCGGCUGCCCCAUCUGGGAAGUGAGGAGUGCCUCUUCCCGGACACCCAUCGUCUGGGAGAUGAGGAGCGCCUCUGCCCGGCCACCCAUCGUCUGGGAAGUGAGGAGCGCCUCUGCCCGGCCACCUAUCGUCUGGGAAGAAGUGAGGAGCGUCUCUGCCUGGCCGCCCCGUCUGGGAAGUGAGGAGCCCCUCUGCCCGGCCGCCCCGUGUCUGGGUAGAAGUGAGGAGCUCCUCUGCCUGGCCGCUCCGUCUGGGAGGUCUACCACGGAGGCCAGAAGCAAUGUGGGGGCUGGACAUGGUGGCUCACGCCUGUGGUCCCGGCACUCUAGGGGGCGAGGCGGGUUGAUCACUUCGGACUAGGAGUUCGAGACCAGUCUGGCCAACUUGGCGAAACAUGAAGAAUACAACAGACAAACCAACCAACCAACUCAAUGACAACAAAACAGGUCUACCCUGGAGUCAUACUCUAAUUUUUUCUAUUUUCCUCCCUUUCUGAUCCUUUAUCCCACUUUCUUUUUCUUCCUCUUCCUUCUCCCUCUUCUUUGUCAAAUAGAGGAUUGAGUUAUUAUCACUGAUCCAUAUAAAGUCCCUCUCUCAUUUAUUUUAACUCCCACCCCCAUUUCUAUUCCCCGACUUCCCAUGUGCAACCUUCCUAAUAUGUUUGAUACGCAUCUUUUUGUUUGUAUGUAUUUUUAGAAAAUGUUUAUUGUUUUUGUAUGCAAAAAAAAUUAAUAAAAAAAAAAAAAAAGAACCAACGAUAAUCCCA